This 111-nucleotide Y RNA is filed under the name Panthera pardus (leopard). RNAcentral describes it as "Y RNA (ENSPPRG00000021557.1)". It matches the Rfam family "Y RNA". Rfam says of the family: Y RNAs are components of the Ro ribonucleoprotein particle (Ro RNP), in association with Ro60 and La proteins. The Y RNAs and Ro60 and La proteins are well conserved, but the function of the Ro RNP is not known. The record is from RNAcentral. Lineage: Eukaryota; Metazoa; Chordata; Mammalia; Carnivora; Felidae.
GACUGGUCUGAAGGUAGUGAAUUACCUCAGUUGAAUGUUCACAGUCAGGUACAGAUCCAACUCCUUAUUCCACUCUUUUCCCUUCUCAUUACUGCACUUGAUUAGUCUUAA